This 71-nucleotide transfer RNA is filed under the name uncultured bacterium. Its description in RNAcentral is "tRNA-Gly". It matches the Rfam family "tRNA". From Rfam's summary of the family: Transfer RNA (tRNA) molecules are approximately 80 nucleotides in length. Their secondary structure includes four short double-helical elements and three loops (D, anti-codon, and T loops). The record is from RNAcentral.
GCGAAAGUAGUUUAAUGGUAGAAUGGGGCUUUGCCUAAGCUUAGAUACGAGUUCGAAUCUCGUUUUUCGCU